AUACAUGCAAGUCGAACGAGGCACUUGUGCCUAGUGGCGAACGGGUGAGUAAUACAUAAGUAAUCUACCUUUUCAUGUGGGAUACCUGAUGGAAACAUGAGUUAAAACCACAUAGGUAAUUAAAUGGCAUCAUAGAAUUAUUAAAGGGGCUUCGGCUCUGGGAAAAGAUGAGCUUAUGGCGCAUUAGCUAGUUGGUAAGGUAAUGGCUUACCAAGGCGACGAUGCGUAGCCGGCCUGAGAGGGUGAACGGCCACACUGGGACUGAGACACGGCCCAGACUCCUACGGGAGGCAGCAGUAGGGAAUUUUCGGCAAUGGGGGGAACCCUGACCGAGCAAUGCCGCGUGAAGGAAGAAGGUUUUCGGAUUGUAAACUUCUGUUAUAUGGGAAGAAUAAAGUCUAUAGGAAAUGAUAGACCGAUGACGGUACCAUAUGAGAAAGCCACGGCUAACUACGUGCCAGCAGCCGCGGUAAUACGUAGGUGGCAAGCGUUAUCCGGAAUUAUUGGGCGUAAAGAGUGCGCAGGCGGUUUAAAAAGUCUGGGGUGAAAGACUGAAGCUUACCUUACCAGGUCUUGACAUGGCGUUAAAGGCUCCAGAGAUAGAGAGAUAGUUAUAGCGCACACAGGUGGUGCAUGGUUGUCGUCAGCUCGUGUCGUGAGAUGUUGGGUUAAGUCCCGCAACGAGCGCAACCCUUAUCCUUAGUUACCAGCAGUAAGAUGGGGACUCUAAGGAGACAGCUAGCGAUAUGCUAGAGGAAGGUGGGGAUGACGUCACAUCAUCAUGCCCCUUACAACCUGGGCUACACACGUGCUACAAUGGACGGAGCAAAGCGAAGCGAUAUGGUGACAUGGAGCAAAACGCAUAAAACCGUUCUCAGUUCGGAUUGUAGUCUGCAACUCGACUACAUGAAGUUGGAAUCGCUAGUAAUCGUAGAUCAGCAUUGCUACGGUGAAUACGUUCUCGGGUCUUGUACACACUGCCCGUCAAACCANCGAGAGUUGAUAACACCCGAAGUCGGUGGCCUAACCGUAAGGAGGGAGCCGCCUAAGGUGGGAUUGAUG
This 1062-nucleotide ribosomal RNA is filed under the name uncultured Eubacterium sp. RNAcentral describes it as "bacterial SSU rRNA". It matches the Rfam family "Bacterial small subunit ribosomal RNA". Lineage: Bacteria; Bacillati; Bacillota; Clostridia; Eubacteriales; Eubacteriaceae. The record is from RNAcentral.